This 245-nucleotide ribosomal RNA is filed under the name uncultured bacterium. RNAcentral's name for it is "partial 16S ribosomal RNA". It matches the Rfam family "Bacterial small subunit ribosomal RNA", at positions 524 to 766 of the family's 1533-position model. The record is from RNAcentral.
UACAGAGGGGGCAAGCGUUGUUCGGAAUUACUGGGCGUAAAGGGCGCGUAGGCGGCCUGUUAAGUCGAACGUGAAAUCCCUGGGCUCAACCCAGGAACUGCGUCCGAUACUGGCAGGCUUGAAUUCGGGAGAGGGAUGCGGAAUUCCAGGUGUAGCGGUGAAAUGCGUAGAUAUCGGGAGGAACACCUGUGGCGAAAGCGGCUCACUGGACCACAACUGACGCUGAGGCGGCGAAAAGCUGAGGG